Gopherus evgoodei (Goodes thornscrub tortoise) is the source of this 9816-nucleotide long non-coding RNA. RefSeq lists it as uncharacterized. The record is from RefSeq and is a predicted model, not a curated record. Lineage: Eukaryota; Metazoa; Chordata; Testudines; Testudinidae. The transcript has 2 exons.
AGCACUUCUGGAAGGCACGGAAAUGAAGCAGGGCUGGUGGUGCACAUGGGGGUUCUCACCCCGGGGUUCACCUGGAGAUGGGGGUUGCUGUGCCACUGCUGAUCCACAAGGCUGGGGGUCUUGAUCACCUGGGGUCACUGAAGGUCCCAUGUUGCUAAUUUGUGCUGCCAGCACAGGCAUCCAGGUCCUGCUCUGGCUACCCUGGUACCCUCAAGCGGGGCCACACCCUCAGCUGGUGCAAAUCAGCUCCAUACCCUUGAGACGUCCACGGAGCUACACCCAUUUCCUCCAGCUGAGGAUCUGGCCCAGCACCCUUCUCCUCCUGUCAUGCACCCCACACCUCCAGGGCAGAGCUGGGGUGAGAGCCCUGCCCCCUAGCGUGGCCUGCUCUCUCCGGAUCCUGGGGGGUGAUGUAGGUUCCCUUAACCCCCCUGCCCCUGCGAGCAGCCGGGUCUCAUCAGUUGGGGUCAGGGAGCAGAGGGGAAGCGGGUCAGGGCCUGUGAGGGUUUUAAGCUAGUUACCACCGAGGGGGAGGGGGAGACGGAGCUCGGAUUGCACCGCAGAACUAAGACAUGACUUCAUCCCCUAAUGGCUUUAGCACACACAGCGUCUCAGCACAGGCGAGACGGGAGAAUGAGCCCACCAGGACCCCCACGCUGCCCCGUGUCAGCCCCGCCUGCUGCAGUGGUUCGGAGACGGGGCAGCGUCCUGCCCCCCCUGCACACCAUUGGCUGCACCAUUGGCGAACAGAGGGCAGACGGCCUGCCAGACCCCGCGGCCCAGAGCCUCUGGCUGCAUCCUGGCCUCCUUGGAAACUGAAGGCGGCUGCAGCCGCACAAUGGUCCUUUUGUUCUGGGGCGAGGAGCUCUGGGCUCGGUGUCUCCCAGCCACAGUGCUGGCGAGGCCACGAGGCCCACGGCAUUCCUGGGCCAGGCCCGACCGCCCUCCGAUGGCUGCACCCUCAGAGGAGCCUGGCCUCCUGGGCACCAGACAGGCUUACUCCUGCCUGGGACCUCGGGCCUCUCCCAUCCCGCGUCAGCCUGGCCUGCUUAGAUUGUAGGCAGCCUGGGGCAGAGACCAGCUCUCAUGCUGCCCCUGGGCAAGGCCUGGCUCCAGGCCCUGAUCUCAGCUGGGCAUCCCAGCAGUGCUGGAACUGCUCGUUUCAAUAUGAGCGACGCCCCCCUCCCCUCUCUCCAGCCCCUGCAUUAUGCCCCAGAGGUGGGGCUGGCACCAGGGCUGGGCAUCAGCAGGAAUCAAGGUACAUCGACACCUGAAUCUUCAGUCGUGUCUUCACGAGUUGCUCACUGACACGACUGCGAGCACUCGUGCAAGCAGGGCAACUGCAUUUGCUGCCAGGGGUGUUUACACGCAAACACUCCUGCCCACGUGUGAUCAGCCCCCCAGACGCUCCCCCUUUCGCUGGGCACAGGCCUGGUGCUGGAGCAGCUUUUGCUCCAUGCUCACCGCACAGCACAGCUUGUUGGGCCUCCUUCCUGUGACUGCCGUCACAUGAAAAUCUCGCCGUAUCACAGACCCAUCGCUUCCAGUCUACACCAGCUUCCUCUGUGCUAACCACAGCCUGGCUCCCGCCGGAACGCCGCUCUCAGCCACUUCCUGCGAUGAUCUGUGCUGGGCGGGCUGAAAGCGAUGAGCCCAGCGGUGCGGGCACAGGAGGGGAGCCAGGGCCUGCCACCACUUCUGUCAGCCGGCAGCACGGGACUGCUCCAUGCCCGCUCGCUCGUUUGCCCAGCAGAGCACACUGGGACAUUUCAUCCCUUGAACUAGGCCCAGCGCCCUGGGAGGGCAAAGGCCCCAGGACCCAACAGUGGCCCCACUGGCGUCUGCCCUGGCCAAGUGCUCAGCAACCUGAGUUGUGCUCAGCCUGCCACCUGUCCAUGGACUCUGGGCCCUGGCUGGGAGCGCUCAGACAGUCAUUCCACAGCAUCUCCGGGACACGGCUCCUUGCCUGCGGGCUCCCUCCGUGUUCUGUUCGUUCGAGGCAGGAGACCCAGCGACCCAGGCCCAUGCAGACAGGAGGGCGUGACACCAGGCAGUGCCAUGGGCGACGCGUGUCAGCAUCUAACCGAGGUCCUGGAGAUGCCCUCUGUGGGGGGCCGGGGGGAGACCUGAAGGUCUCUUACCUUCUAAAUCCCCUUUACCUGGGCACCCGUUUCUUCCGAUGCGCCACGCCCUGCCCAACCAGUGGUGAUGGACCAAUGCCUCAGGGCCUGGCACCCGCAGGACAGGGGCAGGGGGCAGCAGCUGUGUCCUGGAAGCAGUGGGGUCAAUGCUGGCUGUAGGGCCAAGCAGCUCUGUGGGUUUCCUAUGGAGGGUCCCGGUUUGCCCCCCAUUGAUCCAAGCCUGCAGGAAACGCCACCACAAGGCACUGGGAUACAGAGCAUCAUCGCGAGGCCUUUGGGGCCACAUCCUCCCCCAGGCAGAGGGCCAGCCCUAGUCCCUGGUGCCCCUCGUUCAAGGCUGCCCUGGCCCAACGCCACAUACUGUGCACAGGGGAGAGGGCGCUAAGCUGGGGAAAGAGAAUUCUGCCUCCCCCCUGCUUCAUCCUCCCUCCGCUCCCUGGAGCGCAGAGCUCUUUGCUGUGCCCCUAGAGACCAUGCAAGGGGCCCAGGACCGGAUUCUCUCUCCCUUCCUCCGCCAGACACCUAGGAACCGGCAGAGGGGAACUGGGCACUGAACAGCCAUGGCACGACGUAAACCCCAUCAGCCACCUCCCCAGCUGGUGCAAGUCACUGCUGGGUCAGUUCAGGCCACUGAGGAGCUGGUGCAGGGUUCAGAUCAGGCCCUCUUCCCAGGCAUGCUCAGGGAUGCCCACGACCUAGAUACCACAGUGAUGGGCAGGGGGGCGAGAACCAGAACAGAACAGCACAGACCAGAACGUCAUGCCCCAUCUUGGCCGCAAAGCCCAUCUGUGACAGUCCCUGAGACUGUGUCUGGAUCCCUCCUCUGAGCGACAGGCAUGACUUGAUUUCCCCCUGCUAACUGCGUCAGUUUCUCUCACUCUGGAGGUUUGACGGCAAUUGUUUAUCAGGCAGCCCCCACCUCUGCCAGAAAAGCUGUGUGGGACAGCCUCACGCCGUUCCCGCCAGGGCUCCCUCCUCCACUGCGAGCGCUGGCGUCCCGAGCGGCUCCAUGCUGGCGCUCCGCGCCGUACCUAGGCCAGGGCUGAGCCAGAGACUGCAGCCCCACAAGGUAGGAUCAAAAAAGGCAAAGAGCGAUGAACCCUCCUGCUUCCCAGCGCGAGUCACCCAGGCUGGAAAGAGCUGCUGCUCGUGCCGUCUGGGGUUCCUGCACUGCCGCUGAGGUGGCUGCUGCUGGCGACCGUCCCAGCCAGGAACCUGGACCAGGCCAGACCCAGACCUAGCCUGUUCCAGCCGUGACCAGCACAGAGGGACAGGACCAAGAUCACAAUAGAGAGUCUGGCAGACCCAGGCCUCCCAACUCCCAAUCCACCGUUUUAACCACUGGGCCACCUCCCCUCCCACCCUGUCCGGACAGCCGGGGCCGCGGGGCUUGGACCCAGGCCAGGGGAGAUUUGCCACUGAUUUCAACAGCAGCAAGAUGACACUCCAAGCGCCCCCCUGAGAGAAACAUGAAAGGGAGAAGAAGAGUGAGGCAAGCUCCUUCCUCCGGCCCCCUCCAGAGCUUCUGUCCUUUUUAAUGUCAGAUAGCGACUGCACUGGGGUAUUUUCCACACCGCCCCCCUGCAUCGCCUCGUCACAGAACCAAGAGGCGGCCUGGGGCAGAGGGAAAGCAAAAACCAAACCAAAAAAUAAUAGAGCUCAUCUUGGCCUGUGUUCAGCUGCACAGAGACAGAAACCACAUUGUGCAAAACUGGGCUGCCUGAGAGGUGAAAAGGAAACUUUAAAACCAUCAGCUGACUUUCCCAGGCCUGGAUCGGGGUGGGGGCUGCCUUUAUUUCUAGCCCAGAGAACGAAAGGUGGAAAGGUGGUUUUCCCAACCCCACAGCUCACUGACUCGUGGGUCGUCCCCGUAACACAAAGGCCCGUUUCCCCCCUCCUCGCUCCCCCAAUCCGUGUCCCUGCUCACAGCCUUGCUCAGCACAGAGGAGGGGCCGGGAGAGGCUGGACAUAGGGCCGGAUGAAACGGGAUAUUCUUCUGGCUCAAACAGCUCCCCCCAGCUCCCUCACGAAGCAGCCAGAACUGACUGUUUUCAGGGGGUCCCAGGAGAGAGGCCCUCCCCACCCCGUCUCUGGGCCUGAUCCUGGCCAGCCCCAAACCUUGCCCCAUGAGACGCUGAGCGACAUUUAGGGUCACAGCCCAAGCGACAGGAGCUGAUGAUUGGGAGCAGGGAGGUGGGGGCAGCAUGACCCCGCUAAGCCCAGUCCCCCACCCCCCAGAUUCUCACUAGGGCACUGGUCAGAGCAUGUGGCAGACCAGCGGAGGGGGGCAAAGCUCAGCUGGACACGUGCCCGAUGAGACCUGACUCUCACAAUGGCUCCACAACUCCUGGGCUGCGUGGGGUGUUCCUGAAAGCCCCAGCUCCAGGAGUCAGGUGAUGGAGUCAGGAGUCAGCCCCCACUGAACCCAUGCUGUGAAUUUAAACCGCUGGCUUGGCUCUGAUAUUGCUUUGAGAGGCUGCUCUCUGCUGCUCCCCAAGCGUUUAGAAACCAGCUGCAGUUAAAUCGGUGUCACUUCCCUGGGCAGCCAGACCUGGUCCCUCCUGGGUGCAGAGAACAGCCGGCAGCUGAGGCCCCUAAUAGCCCCACCCAACUGCACGUUCGCUGGCAGCUUUUCAAGCCCAACUGGUGAUUUCCCAGCUCAAGGCUGGUGAAGACCUGGCCCUCCUGAGCCCGCCCAGGUGGCCCACUGCUAGGCUCAGUGUGUCCCGUAUCACCCCUGCCGCUGGGCCCCGGUGCCAGAGCUCCACUCCACCACCCCAGCCUGGCAGCAGCUCCCAGGCCAUUCCUAGUCCGAGCCCAUGGCAGGAUGCUGCUGGCCAGCACUUAGCCCAGGGUGGCUCCUCUGCUGGGCCCAGCCUGUCCCGGCUGCUGCCAGCCCAAGUCCAGCCCUGGCUUGUUUCCCCUCCACCUCCACCAGUUCCAGCUCAAUCCAAGGUCAGGAGCUAAAACGAUCCCCAGGCAGAGUUUAGGGGACCCCUUUGGCCAAUCCAGGCUUCCAGCGCCCCCCCCCCCCCACGGGGAAAUGGCUGCAGGAAGGAGAAAGCAUCCUAUCUCACUGCCCAGACCCUCCUGCCGGGGCAGUGACGCUCAGCCACCAUUUCCAGGCUCCUCGGGGCCUCCCCGCCCCUCAGGCUUGGGCCUGGCAGCCGGAGCAGAGCUGCCUGGGAUGGAGGCGUGGUGGCUCGUGUUCCUAGGAACGCGGCUUUGCCCUGGGCCUGGAGAGGAAACCACAGGGAGGUCGGAUCAAACACGGGUCUCGCUGCCCCAGGCCCCCACCUCCGGGGGCUGGGAGAGGACCUGGUCUGGCCAGCCCAGCCCAGCCUUCCAUCUUCAGCAGUGUCCAGUGCAAGAAACACCGCAGGAGGCAGCUGGGGGUGGAUGGCCCCAGGAAUGCCCCUGCUGCCACCCGCAGCUCGAGCCUGGCUUACAUGCUGAAGCACGACAGUUCUCAUCCCUUCCAAAACUCUUGCUGAUUUUUAAUCACCCUGGCUAGUCUCAUUAGCCAGAGAAUCGUCUAAUCCCUUUGUAUAAACCCUGCUAAGAUCUUGGCCUCCAACCGCGUCUUGUGGAGCUGAGUUCCACAGGCUAAGUGCACGCAGUGUUGGAGGAGAGCCACAGCAGAAGGAUCUCACUAGUUUCCAGGCACAGCCAGUGCCAGGAAGAUACUCGAGGGCUGGAAGGAGCACAAAGACUAGCAAAAACAACGAUGAGUUGUAAGUGCAGGACAAGAGAGCUAAAUAUGUCCUGGUGAUGGCUGCAUGAUCCGGGGGCUGGGGUUUGCCAUGACAGUAACUCUCUGCAAACAUUAGACAAGCAAGCACACCUAGGACAGAGGGGGGUUACUUAGCGUGGACUGAUGGGGUAUGGACUGGGAGACACAGGGGGACCAGUAGGAGUCCAGCCACACUAGCAGCUGAGUUCAGACACUAAGGAGCUGAGGGCCUUGUCCGAGGAUCCCAAAUGACCUGCGGUUCCUUAUACGAAAUCAGAACCUUGAGCACAUGGCCUGGGAGAUGCUUUCAGGGCCACUGCCCAGCCGUGCCGCAGACAGAGCCACCAUCCAGCAACGCCACCAAAAGGCAGCAAAUUCAGGACUGAGGAAACAUCUUCCCACAGCACAGAGCUAGACUGAGGAACUCCCUGACACAGGGUGUCACCGAGGCUGAGAGUUCAAGAAGGACUGGACGGACGCCUUGAUAAGAACACCACUCGGAGUUCUGGCAGUUAGCGUGAAGGCGGGGUAUCCUUCAGCAGAGAGUUCCACAGGUUAGUUACCCUUCUGCCCUGUAUGCAUGUGCCGCCGUCCAGUGACAUUAGCUGGGAUGGGGUAAAUAGGACCGACAGGAGCAGCCUGUAGUGUUUUAUGGGCCUCUCUCACGUUGGCUCCAGAUUCAUAUUGAGAGUCUGCUGCAGAGCUCGGGACGGAACCCAGGCGUCCUGGUUCACUUUUCUGCCCUAGUCACGGCUUUGUUUGCACGCCACACUAGUGCAAACCCCCACAGCACAGGCAAGGGUCGAAGUCCUUCCUCGGGUCUGGACAAUCCUGGAAACACUUUGUCACCAGCCCACGCCCUCCUGUUGGACCUCACCAGCCCACACCCAAGGAGCUGCUGGCCCAAGAGCACACGUUCAAGCCACAGCACUGCACGAAACCGUGCAAAGAACCAGCCUGGCUAGGCCUGGCUUGGGCGCUCGGCUCCCGCCCUCCCUAGUCCCAGGUCAACUCUUAUUUUUAUAACAAGCCUGACCGCAAAUUACAGCAUCCGCGUUCUGCAAACCUACAACUAAGGAGGCAGGAGAGUGUUUUCCACCCGCCAACCAGCCCUGCUCUGUCCCCUGGGCUCGGCUGACGCCAGGAGCUGGGCUUAGCUGGCUGUCAGGACCAGGAGUUAAAUCCAUCCCCCAGCCCCUUUGCUCAUCUUCUCUAAGACACCAAGAAGCCAAACCCGCCUGCGUCCUGCUGGGGGGCUGUUUACUUCUCAGGGGAGCACAGGAACCAGCCAGCAGACUUCCUCGCAGCAGGCUUCAAAGCCCCGGAGCAGACAGAGGCGCCUCGCUAUUCUUUCCCCUUUGGCAAUGGCCACAGCCCGGUGGAUUCACCCUAACACCAGCCAGGCUGGUGGCUCUGGCCUGCAGAGGCCAGGCACCAGGGCCAGCCCCAUCCUCUCUCUCAUUCCUGACAGCCGGGGCUGAGGCCCGAGUGGGGAAUCGAUCAGGGAAGCAGGGGCCCAGCAGUUUGCUCCCAGCUGGGACCGAUCCCGGGGCUCUCCAGUCUGAGGUGCUUACAGUGUAAAAGGCAGCUGACAAGCUGGCAAAGGGAGACGAGCAGACGACAAGCACCCCGUGAGAGCAGGGAUCCCCACCCCUCACCGCCCGUCCCGAGAGCCGGGCUAGGCACCUGGGUGAUUUUCAGGGGACUCCUGGGCAGAGAAACCACUGGACUUGCCGUGGGUCUGAUGCCUUCUCUUAGGGCCGCUUUAGGGCCCUAAAUACUUGUAACAACCCGGCCACUAGCACGUGUGAAAAUCCCAGCCCCAAGCCAGUAGUACCAGCUAUUUAUCACUAGUAUCACAGGAGCUGCAGGGGCACCAGGCCUUGGUUUAGGCACCGAAGCAGAGCCCAGCGUCUGGAAAGCGCCAGCCCUAGCCCCAGCGGUGCUGCAUCAAGGGGGGAGGCGCUUGGAGAGGCAGAGGAGCUCGGGGUCUGAGGAAGAAAGGCCCAAUACUCAAAUGCUGAGCGCUGUGAAACUUGGGAUCUCCUGCCCUUGUGCUCCCACGGGGCACUGUGCAGUUUCUUUACGGUCUCCCCUGCCGCUGAAAAAAACCACCAUCAAAAAGCAGUUGGAUUCGGUUUUCCCCAUGCGAGGAAGACACGCUCAGGAAGCGCAGCCAGACACAGGGUCGAAUUCUGCCCCCGGUCUAGUGCCCUGAGCUCCUUGGAGUAACCCAGCAUCCGCAAGAGCAGAAUCAGCCCCGGGGCCAACGCUGCCGGCAGUGAAGUUGCAGGAGGCUUUUGGCCCAGGCGAGAAGCUAGCCAGGUGGUUCUGUACCAAGCUCUCCUGCCACGGUUCCGGGUUAUUUUGGAUCAGAGCCUCUAAACUCCUAGUUCCUUUCUCAAAGCUCCGUUCUCCAAGGUUUUGCUUUUUAAACCUCCAGUCAGGGGGCACGAGCGUCCCCCGCACCCACCCUUGUCCAGCCCAGAGCGACCCAGGGUUAAUGCAAUGAGUCCGAGGCUCCAGCGGCCGGCCCCUUGUGGGUGAGAACACCAGCGUUCUCAGGAAGAGCCAGGCUGCAUCGGGGACUGGGGCAGCGACGCAGCCAGUGCAGAUGCUGCGUGUUGUUCCGAGCAAGGCCACCUCUGGUGACCGCAGUAACGCAGGCGCGUUGCAAUGUUUUGCUGCUGCAGCUUUUUGGGUGCUGCUGCCAGGGUGCAUGUGUCCCUAACGCAGACAGGCCCCAGCAGCACUGUAUACCCACUUUGCAGAGGUGUGCACAUGCUGCGCGUUCACUGUCUCUCUCUCUGAUUUGCACAGAGACAGGGAGGUGGACCCAGUCUAGGGCUCACUUGUGCACUGAGGCUCUCCUACGCCUAGAGCCAGGAGGGACGGGGCAGCGUCCAUGGGCCUCAAAAUAGGAGCUUAAUUUUAUGCCAGGUACAAACAAAGCCCGUCUCUUUCGUGCCAGCUUUGUUCCCCACCAGGCCGAGCUGCAAACAGGAAAGCGUUUGAGGAUCAAAGUUAACCAGGCAGCCUGGGACUAAACUCACCAGUAUCAGAGCCAAGCGAAGCCAACUCCAAGUCUGCAGCCUCCUGGAACGGCUUCCCACUGAUCUAUAAUUACUCCGCAGCAGCUCCUCAAUUGCGACAUUCCCUGGCUAAUUACACACAUUCAUUCCCCCACAAGCUCAGGGAAGUGGGUGGCAGAUCCAGGACAUUAAUGACAGGACGCCUGGUGGUUUAUAUGUCAGAGUGGGGGGGGGGGGGGCUGGGAGGCCAGCAGGCGGCCUGCAGCACAUGAUGAGAUCCUGCCAAGCUCCAGCUAAGCCGGAGCAGAGCAGACAAAGGACUUGGAUAGGAGUCUGAAAGUGGCACUUAGACGCUGUCCGUCCCUAACCAGUGGUGCAGCAUUGCUGUGUGCUGUGAAACAUGUCCAGAGGUGGCUGCAUUUCAGGGCUGGGUAAAACCAAGCACUUCGCCCCUUGCAGGGCUGAGGAGUUUACCACGAAGUAACUCAGAUAUUUCAGCUACUGCUCACAAAGCCUGCUGGCUCUGGCGCGCAGGGGCUAAGGUGAUGAUCUAGACAGCUGCUUGCAGAAGCUAAGAACCCGAGUUUUAGCACAUUUCAGAGGGAAGUUUUGCCAUUGGUAACAUGGAUUAGAUCAGUAACAAUUCUGCUCUUAGGUUGCCCUUUCCUUUACAGCAGAUGAACUCAAAGUGCUUUACAAAGGUGAAUACCAUUAUUCCACAUUACAAAGCUGGGGAAACUGAGGCAUAGGGAAGGAAAAGGACUCACCCAAGGUCACACAUUAAGGUUCAGAACUCCGCAAUCCUGACUCCCAGUCCUGCGUUCUAACCAUCAGUCCAGUGGCAGUUUCAGUGCAAAGUGAUUUACAGGACGGUUUAUGGCAGGUGAAGGACUGUAUAUGUGAAUGAUAA